RNAcentral lists this ribosomal RNA (163 nucleotides) under Diospyros rubra. RNAcentral's name for it is "5.8S ribosomal RNA". It matches the Rfam family "5.8S ribosomal RNA". From Rfam's summary of the family: 5.8S ribosomal RNA (5.8S rRNA) is a component of the large subunit of the eukaryotic ribosome. It is transcribed by RNA polymerase I as part of the 45S precursor that also contains 18S and 28S rRNA. The record is from RNAcentral. Lineage: Eukaryota; Viridiplantae; Streptophyta; Magnoliopsida; Ericales; Ebenaceae.
AAACGACUCUCGGCAACGGAUAUCUCGGCUCUCGCAUCGAUGAAGAACGUAGCGAAAUGCGAUACUUGGUGUGAAUUGCAGAAUCCCGUGAACCAUCGAGUCUUUGAACGCAAGUUGCGCCCGAAGCCCGACGGCCGAGGGCACGUCUGCCUGGGCGUCACGC